GAUGAAGAACGUAGCGAAAUGCGAUAAGUAAUGUGAAUUGCAGAAUUCAGUGAAUCAUCGAAUCUUUGAACGCACCUUGCACCCUUUGGCAUUCCGAAGGGUAUGCUCGUUUGAGUGUCAUUGUACUCUCACACUCUCCGAUCCUAUGGAUUCGGGGAGCGGUGGACUUGGGUGUUGCUGCCUUUCCUUGUGGCUCACCUCAAAUGUGUCAGUGCACCUCUUGGUUGGACAUAGUACGGCGUGAUAAGUGUCUUCGCCGGCACCUCGCAAGAGGGUGGCCGAUCGGGAGCUCUGUGCUUUCAAACCGUCUUCGGACAAUUUCUGACAACUUGACCUCAAAUCGAGUAGGACUACCCGCUGAACUUAAGCAUAUCAAUAAGCGGAGG
Molecule: unclassified non-coding RNA, 386 nt
Filed under: soil metagenome
Description: partial contains 5.8S ribosomal RNA, internal transcribed spacer 2, and large subunit ribosomal RNA
Rfam family: 5.8S ribosomal RNA (bases 1-120)
Source: RNAcentral